RNAcentral lists this ribosomal RNA (799 nucleotides) under uncultured Nitrospiraceae bacterium. RNAcentral describes it as "bacterial SSU rRNA". It matches the Rfam family "Bacterial small subunit ribosomal RNA", at positions 74 to 868 of the family's 1533-position model. The record is from RNAcentral. Lineage: Bacteria; Pseudomonadati; Nitrospirota; Nitrospiria; Nitrospirales; Nitrospiraceae.
ACGUAGCAAUACGUUUGUAAAGCGGCGAACGGGUGAGGAAUACAUGGGUAACCUACCCUCGAGUGGGGAAUAACUAGCCGAAAGGUUAGCUAAUACCGCGUACGCUCCUUGGACUUCGGUUCAGGGAGGAAAGCGAUACCGUGGGUAUCGCGCUCAUGGAUGGGCUCAUGUCCUAUCAGCUUGUUGGUGAGGUAACGGCUCACCAAGGCUUCGACGGGUAGCUGGUCUGAGAGGACGAUCAGCCACACUGGCACUGCGACACGGGCCAGACUCCUACGGGAGGCAGCAGUAAGGAAUAUUGCGCAAUGGGCGAAAGCCUGACGCAGCGACGCCGCGUGGGGGAUGAAGGUCUUCGGAUUGUAAACCCCUUUCGGGAGGGAAGAUGGAAUGGGGUAACCCAUUCGGACGGUACCUCCAGAAGCAGCCACGGCUAACUUCGUGCCAGCAGCCGCGGUAAUACGAAGGUGGCAAGCGUUGUUCGGAUUUACUGGGCGUACAGGGAGCGUAGGCGGUUCGGUAAGCCCUUUGUGAAAUCUCCAGGCUUAACCUGGAACAGUCGGAGGGGACUGCCGGGCUAGAGGACGGGAGAGGAGCGCGGAAUUCCCGGUGUAGCGGUGAAAUGCGUAGAGAUCGGGAGGAAGGCCGGUGGCGAAGGCGGCGCUCUGGAACGUUUCUGACGCUGAGGCUCGAAAGCGUGGGGAGCAAACAGGAUUAGAUACCCUGGUAGUCCACGCCUUAAACUAUGAAUACUAAGUGUCGGCGGGUUACCGCCGGUGCCGCAGCUAACGCAUUAAGUAUU